RNAcentral lists this ribosomal RNA (460 nucleotides) under uncultured bacterium. Its description in RNAcentral is "partial 16S ribosomal RNA". It matches the Rfam family "Bacterial small subunit ribosomal RNA", at positions 338 to 795 of the family's 1533-position model. The record is from RNAcentral.
CCUACGGGCGGCUGCAGUGAGGAAUAUUGGUCAAUGGGCGGAAGCCUGAACCAGCCAAGUAGCGUGCAGGAUGACGGCCCUACGGGUUGUAAACUGCUUUUAUACGGGAAUAACCCGCCUUACGUGUAGGCCUUUGCAUGUACCGUAUGAAUAAGGGCUGGCUAAUUCCGUGCCAGCAGCCGCGGUAAUACGGAAGGUCCGGGCGUUAUCCGGAUUUAUUGGGUUUAAAGGGAGCGUAGGCCGGAUGUCAAGCGUGCUGUGAAAUGUCCGGGCUCAACCCGGGCCUUGCAGCGCGAACUGGCGUGCUGGAGUCCGCGGAAAGCAGGCGGAAUUCGUGGUGUAGCGGUGAAAUGCUUAGAUAUGACGAAGAACCCCGAUUGCGAAGGCAGCUUGCUGCAGCGGAACUGACGCUGAUGCUCGAAAGCGCGGGUAUCGAACAGGAUUAGAUACCCUAGUAGUC